Myotis lucifugus (little brown bat) is the source of this 429-nucleotide long non-coding RNA. RefSeq lists it as uncharacterized. The record is from RefSeq and is a predicted model, not a curated record. Lineage: Eukaryota; Metazoa; Chordata; Mammalia; Chiroptera; Vespertilionidae. The transcript is spliced from 4 exons.
CAGCCACGACACGGGCAGCAGAGACUUCCUGUCCAUCAACCUGGCGGGGGGCCACGUGGAGUUCCGCUUUGACUGUGGCUCCGGGACUGCUGUGCUCAGGAGUGAAGACCCCCUCGCCCUCGCCCGCUGGCACGAGCUGCGUGUAUCUCGAACAGCCAAGAAUGGCAUCUUGCAGGUGGAUAAGCAGAAGGUGGUGGAGGGCAUGGCGGAGGGCGGCUUCACACAGAUUAAUUGCAACACGGACAUCUUUAUUGGCGGAGUCCCCAGUUACGACGCGGUGAAGAACAAGUCGGGCAUCCUCAGGCCCUUCAGCGGGAGCAUCCAGAAGAUCACCCUGAACGACCGCGCCAUCCACGUCAGGCACGACUUCACCCGCGGCGUGAACGUGGACAACGCCGCCCACCCGUGCGUGGCGGGCCCCUGUGCCCC